Molecule: ribosomal RNA, 433 nt
Filed under: uncultured bacterium
Lineage: Bacteria
Description: partial 16S ribosomal RNA
Rfam family: Bacterial small subunit ribosomal RNA
Source: RNAcentral
AACGAACGCUGGCGGCAUGCCUAACACAUGCAAGUCGAACGAGACCUUCGGGACUAGUGGCGCACGGGUGCGUAACGCGUGGGAACCUGCCCUUAGGUUCGGAAUAACUCCCCGAAAGGGGUGCUAAUACCGGAUAAUGUCUUCGGACCAAAGAUUUAUCGCCUUUGGAUGGGCCCGCGUUGGAUUAGCUAGUUGGUAGGGUAAAAGCCUACCAAGGCGACGAUCCAUAGCUGGUCUGAGAGGAUGAUCAGCCACACUGGGACUGAGACACGGCCCAGACUCCUACGGGAGGCAGCAGUGGGGAAUAUUGGACAAUGGGCGAAAGCCUGAUCCAGCAAUGCCGCGUGAGUGAUGAAGGCCUUAGGGUUGUAAAGCUCUUUUACCCGGGAUGAUAAUGACAGUACCGGGAGAAUAAGCACCGGCUAACUCCGUG